GGGCGGUUAGCUCAGUUGGUUAGAGCGUUCGGUUCACAUCCGAGAGGUCAUAGGUUCGAAUCCUAUACCGCCCA
RNAcentral lists this transfer RNA (74 nucleotides) under Elusimicrobia bacterium CG_4_8_14_3_um_filter_50_9. RNAcentral describes it as "tRNA-Val". It matches the Rfam family "tRNA". From Rfam's summary of the family: Transfer RNA (tRNA) molecules are approximately 80 nucleotides in length. Lineage: Bacteria; Pseudomonadati; Elusimicrobiota. RNAcentral also lists the same sequence under 2 other names. The record is from RNAcentral.